Ornithodoros turicata is the source of this 399-nucleotide long non-coding RNA. RefSeq lists it as uncharacterized. Lineage: Eukaryota; Metazoa; Arthropoda; Arachnida; Ixodida; Argasidae. The transcript is spliced from 4 exons. The record is from RefSeq and is a predicted model, not a curated record.
CGACUCCAGAGGCAAUUUGGAAUCUCGGCACGAAAUCGUCUGAUGAAAAUCUGAGGUGCCCGACGCAUAACAUUUUGAACGUGCCACGGAGGAUCAAGGCAAAAAACGAGAGCAAAAAAUGGUGCACGCUGAAGGCGGAAAUGAAGCAUGAUCUGGCUUGCAUCUGGUCAUGAAGAAAUUGCUGACACGUUAGUUGCAGUCCACCUCCACCAACAGGGUGGAAAACAAAGAUCGCCAUUCCGAUUAGCUGCUAUCUCCCAGUUCAAGCACUUUUGUGUCUGGACACUGGUUCCUGUGGAUGGGGUGUUACAAGCUUUACUGUCUGAUAUAGAAGUGAUGAGCAUCCAUAAGGACACAUGCCAGAAAGGGAGUCUCUCUGGGAUGACAAACCCUCAUCAC